RNAcentral lists this long non-coding RNA (1218 nucleotides) under Vitis vinifera (wine grape). RNAcentral describes it as "long non-coding RNA (VVIN_LNC002711)". The record is from RNAcentral. Lineage: Eukaryota; Viridiplantae; Streptophyta; Magnoliopsida; Vitales; Vitaceae.
CGGAUUUAAAAAGGGCACCCAAACAGAUUCAUUUCUAAUCAAAGUCCAUCUUUUCUAGGAUCGAUAGCAAAAAGGCCCAAUUAAUGUGAUCAUGUCUUUUCAAUGUCAAGAUUACACAUAACUCCACAGGAAUCUUUGUCAACAUAAAGUUAAUGGUGUCAUUAGCUAUAAGCACCGCAUUUAGUAUUUGUCUUACCUCCAUGAAAGCAUUCUUGAACUUGGAUAUCUCUUUUCCCAUCACCUUCUUUAGUCUAUUAGCUAAUACUUUAGCUAGAAGUUUAUACAAACCACACAUCAAGCUUAAUGCCUAAAGUCUUUUAGAUCUUUUACACACUUUUUCUUUUGGGAUUAACACCAAAAACAUGGCAUUGAGGACAUUUUCAAACCUUCCCUGUUGAUGAGACUCUAUGAAAAAUGGCUCAUGUAGUUCUUCCCAAAAUCUCAACUAAACAGCUAGAAGGCCAUAGAGAACCCAUCCAAGCCUAGAGCUUUGUCCCCAUUUAAGUACAACAAAACACUAAACAACUCUUCUUCUUAAAAUAGCUCCUCUAAUUUUUUGACUUUCUCCACAUCUAAACCGUCAAAAUACUUCCUCCAAUCUCCCAUAUCAGAUAAUAGGUUAAGAAAACUUUAAAUAAAAAAUUAACAAAAUCUUAAAAAAAUAAAAUAAAAAAGAAAAAAAGAAAAAAAAUCUGAAAUGUAAGAAAACCAAGAGCAAAGCCAGGAAUAAAAAAGUAGCCAGUACAGCAAACACAACUAGAAUUCUCCAAUGGGAGACUGAAGUACAAAGUUCAAACUAAGUAGAUCUUUGACAGUCAUGUAUGGAAAUGCUUUGUCAUCAGGUAGAUGUUGAGCAUGUUCACAGGUUGGGAUAUCCUGAUCCAAAAGAUUAACAGUAUUUGAUAUAAAAUUACCUUCCUGAAGCUAUAAUAACAGUAUAAUUUUUCAUAUUCCAUUGCACACUUAACAUACAGACAUGCAAGCAAGAUUAUUUUCAAAAUUAACAUAGUCCAAUCAGGGUAGCAUUGCAGCAGGAAAUGAAUGCAUAAAAUUCAAACAAACUUAGCAGGAAUUUCUCAGUCAUGUACAAGAGUACUUUGUCAUCAGGUAGCAGAGGAGCAUGUUCACGUGUUGGAGCAUCGAAAUCCAAGUGAUGGACAGUGUUUGAAUUGGAGACACCUUUCUUAAGAAACCGUUGAGUAUGAUGCCAAAUUCCAG